RNA transcript from Sceloporus undulatus (fence lizard), 1441 nucleotides. RefSeq lists it as uncharacterized. The record is from RefSeq and is a predicted model, not a curated record. Lineage: Eukaryota; Metazoa; Chordata; Lepidosauria; Squamata; Phrynosomatidae. The transcript is spliced from 6 exons.
CUUUGCUCUGGUGCUUCCCAUCCAGUCCAACAAAAAAGCCCUCAAAGGCUCCAAGGGAUGGAUACCCUCACAGCCUCCUCUGUCCCCAGCAGGCCCUGGGUGCUCCAGUUCUUCAGAAACCUCUUUGGGGGCAGCAGGCAAGUGGUGCAGGAGGGGCAGAGGCCCAAGGAGGAAGCCCAGGAGAAAGAGGAGCUUGGAAGUCAGUUCCUGGAUUGUCCUCUUGGGCUGUCUGAUACGGAAGCAAUGUUGCCCACGGACCAAGAGCUGGGGGCUACUGAGACAUCUCCCAUUGAGAUUCAGGAGGGUGAGAGAGAGAGCCACACCGAAGAGCUGUCGCUGCUCAAGGGACGUAGUUUUCGAAAGGCCACCCCAAGAAAUAAGAAAAAGCUUUUCGGAUUGCUUAACUCAGGGGAGAUGGAGAUGGGAGGCUCUCAUGGUUUCACUGGCACAAUGAUAGGUCAGUUGGUAGAGCAUCCAUGCGAAACGGUCCCAGCCGCAGGAGAGAAGAAUAAUGAGCCUGGUGACAGAGAAACACUGGGAAAGGAUGAGGUGUCACAGGUUCUACACGCAGCUGAUGGAAUCUCCAUGGCUGUGGGAUCCAUUGCAGAUGUUAAGGACUGUAGUGCUGAAGAAGAAAAAGAACAUCUGCUGAAAGAGGAUGUACAAACAGAGGCUCCAAAAACAGAGCUUUCUCCCUGGAACAGACUCAUCAAUAUGUAUAAGCAACGUCGGAGACUUCCUGCUCCAAAGUCUCAUCACCAGGAUAUUUCAGCACAACCAUUAAUCGAAGGUGAAACCACACUGGACCUAAUGGUAUUUGGAAUUGCAGCAUCUAAGGACCAUGUCCCCUUAACAAAGCCCUGUGGGGCUGGCUCUGCCUAUGGGUAAGAGUGUUCCUGAAAAUGAGGCCGGAGAAAUUGCUGGUGAUUGUGAGAUAACACAGAGAAAUCUGGGAUUAAAUGAUGCAGAAAGCUUGGAGCACCCUAAGAAUGUGUACUGAAAACGUGUGGCUGGAGUCAUCGUGAGUCUGCCAACAGUGUACUUCUGUACUUUGCUCACUGGAAGAUGACCUACUGAGAAUUUUUAUUUGUAACCUGCAAGGACUGAUUCAAUCCCUUUACUUGUUUUUGUGGAUUCUUCUUUCCUCUCUUCUUUCUUAACCAAAUACAUAGCCCUUGCCCCCUUUGCUUUGCUCUCUUUGGUAUAAGCCUAUAACUCCAGCAGGUAUGUGCUUUUAGAAUAUUUUUCAGGUUGCUGGAUUGCUCAAUUUUCCCUUCCCCAAAUAAUGUUGCCUCUUUUUCCCCCACUCAGCUCAUUAAAUGGAUUUUUACAGUGAAUUCAUAUCCUUUGUGUUCUUUGGUGUGUAGGUGGGUGUUUUUAACUUCAUGCAUUAAAAGAACAAGUAAUAGUUUGACGUUUCUUUGAUCACAGAGGCAAAAUG